Molecule: long non-coding RNA, 2769 nt
Organism: Passer domesticus (house sparrow)
Lineage: Eukaryota; Metazoa; Chordata; Aves; Passeriformes; Passeridae
Exons: 6
Source: RefSeq, a predicted model, not a curated record
CAUCACCUCGUCUCCUCUUUACCCAGGCGUACCCUGUGACGACGGCGUCGGUCUCAGAGCACGGCCGAAGCGUGCGGCCCGAGGACCCGGUCAUUCUUAGGAGGCGACUAGGAGACAGCAGCCCGGUGACAGCAGGAACCUCCCAGACAGCCUGGUGGCCUUGCUUUGCACCUGAUGUGGAUUCUCAUUCCUGGAGAGCCAAGAGAUAAGUUGAGGGCUGUGACUUACAGAGGGGAUGGAAGGGGGCUGCUGUGUCAGGACUCAUUAGGUGGUAUUUUUGAGUCAGCUUUGGAGCUGAGGAUAUCCAGGAAAUGUUGUCUUGAGCCCACACAAAAGCAAAGUGUCGCUUUUGAUCCCAGUGCUGAGGUGCGCAGGGCAGAGCAGUCCCGGCGUGUGUUGUGUCAUGUGGCUAUUGUGCAUUAUGUGUUGUUUAAUGUCUUUUCCCUUAGCCCUUUGAGGGGCCUAACAGAAACCCUGGCAUCAUUCUUAGCAUCUGCGAUCUCUGCAUUUCUUGGCCUGGCACCAAUGCCACAGGACUUUUGACUCAGGAGCUCAGACAGGCAUCAGAAUUGCACCUCUCUUUAGGAGCAUCCAGUCAGAUGUCUUUGCAGGUCUUGUUCUGAGCUGUAUGUACCUUGCAAGGAUCCAUUAUGGCAGAUUAGGGCUUGUAAGAAUGCAAGGAUAGGUGGAGGAUGCUGACCGUAGGAUUCUCAGACAUCCAUCUUUGUAGUUCUUGGAAUAAACCAUUGUCUUAGCAGGAUAUUCCUCCAGGGUUCUGGGAGCCUCAUCAGCUCGCCAUCAGUCUCAUCUCGGUCAUCUAAUCUUGCAUUCUCUCAGUCCUUGCAGUCAUUCUUCUUGCCAAGAGAUUCCUGUCCCUGUUGUGUCCCCCUUGUUUGUCAUGUCGUGUCCUGUGUCACGGGUGUCUGCACGUAUUUGUGCCGGAGCUGCUCUGCCCUGCUGCAUAGCCUGGUGUAAUAGGACAAAUCCUGGGGGGCUUGAAAUUUGUUGUGUGCUGUAGUUGGACUCUAGAUGAUAUUCCUAGGCUGACCCAGAUGUCUGGAGCUGUGAAGUGGUCCUGCAGCCCUUUGACAUUUUUCCUAACUUUCUUUCAGAUGCAGAUGGAUAAAAUCCAUGGCAGAGCACCCCAUCCCAGGAAGUAAAGUGAUAGAGCAACAGUCAAGUUGAAGUGGUCAAGGCAAUCUACUCAGGUUAUGCCAAGCCCCUGUCAUCAACCAGCCGAUUGACCAGGUUUGCUGGUCUCAUGAGCCCUGUGGAGGUAUUGCAGGACCCUGUGAUGAAGCCUUGAAAUUUUCUAUUUAAAGGUUGCUUCUGGGUAGCCCUCAGGAAUGGGCAACGAGCCGUGGUGAGUUGGGGGGUAUCGAGGAGGAGCUGGGGUCCGCUCAGUUCUCAGCUAUGCUACAUCACCUCAUCUCCUCUUUACCCAGGCGUACCCUGUGACGACGGCGUCGGUCUCAGAGCACGGCCGAAGCGUGCGGCCCGAGGACCCGGUCGUUCUUAGGAGGCGUUGAGUAGCAGAAUUUUCAGGUUUUGGUCGAUAUGCUGCUAAGAUGAUGCACUGAUGUCUGGUUUCCUUUAUCUUGACAGACUAGGAGACAGCAGCCCGGUGACAGCAGGAACCUCCCAGACAGCCUGGUGGCCUUGCUUUGCACCUGAUGUGGAUUCUCAUUCCUGGAGAGCCAAGAGAUAAGUUGAGGGCUGUGACUUACAGAGGGGAUGGAAGGGGGCUGCUGUGUCAGGACUCACCAGGUGGGAUUUUUGAGUCAGCUUUGGAGAUGAGGAUAUCCAGGAAAUGUUGUCUUAAGGCCACACAAAAACAAAGUGUCACUUUUAAUCCCAGUGCUGAGGUGCGCAGGGCAGAGCAGUCCCGGUGUGUGUUGUGUCACGUGGCUAUUGUGCAUUAUGUGUUGUUUGGCUAUCUCAUGUCUUUUACCUUAGCCCUUUGAGGGGCCUAUCAGAAACCCUGGCAUCAUUCUUGGUCUGGCACCAAUGCCAUAGGACUUUUGACUCGGGAGCUUGGACCGGCAUUGGAAUUGCACCUCUCUUUAGGAGCAUCCAGUCAGAUGUCUUUGCAGGUCUUGUUCUGAGCUGUACAUACUGCUGUGCAUUGCAAGGAUCCCUUAUGGCAGAUUAGGACUUGUAAGAAUGUGAGGAUAGGUAGAGGAUUCUGACCAUAGGAUUCACAGGCAUCCAUCUUUGCAGUUCUUAGAAGGAACCAUUCUCUUAGCAGAUACUUCCUCCACAGUUCUCUGAGCCUCAUCGGCUCUCACCUCAGUCAUCUAAUGUUGCGUUCUCUCGGUCCUUGCAGUCAUUCUUCUUGUCAAGAGAUUUCUGUCCCUGUUGUGUCCCCAUUGUUUGUCCUGUUCCGUGUCACGGGUGUCUGCACACGUUUGUGCCCGGGCUGCUCUGCCCUGCUGCGUAGCCUGGUGUAAUAGGACAAGUCCUGGGAACUUGAAAUUUGUAAUGUGGGGUUUAGUUGGAUUCUAGACCGUAUUGGUAGACGGACACAGGAUGUCUGGAGCUGUGAAGUUAUCCUGCAGCCCUUUGACAUUUGUCCUGACUUUCUUUCAGAUGCAGAUGGAUAAAAUCCAUGGCAGAGCACCCUAUCCCAGGAAGUAAAGCCGGAUAUCAGCAGUCAAGGCAAUCCAUUCAGAGUAUGCCAAGCCCCCAUCCGCAACCGGCUGAUGGACCGGGUGUGCUGCUCUUGUGAGCCCUGUGGAGGUAUUGCUGGACUCUGUGAUGAAGCCCUGA